AGUGAAGUGGCUGAAUUGUAGGUGAUAAAUUGUAAAUUUAUUUAUGAGUUAUAACUCCUUUACUA
RNAcentral lists this transfer RNA (65 nucleotides) under Bacillus rossius. RNAcentral describes it as "tRNA-Tyr". It matches the Rfam family "tRNA". From Rfam's summary of the family: Transfer RNA (tRNA) molecules are approximately 80 nucleotides in length. Lineage: Eukaryota; Metazoa; Arthropoda; Insecta; Phasmatodea; Bacillidae. The record is from RNAcentral.